RNAcentral lists this ribosomal RNA (466 nucleotides) under uncultured bacterium. Its description in RNAcentral is "partial 16S ribosomal RNA". It matches the Rfam family "Bacterial small subunit ribosomal RNA", at positions 28 to 507 of the family's 1533-position model. The record is from RNAcentral.
GAUGAACGCUGGCGGCGUGCUUAACACAUGCAAGUCGAACGGAAAGGCCCAAGCUUGCUUGGGUGCUCGAGUGGCGAACGGGUGAGUAACACGUGGGUGAUCUGCCCUGCACUUUGGGAUAAGCCUGGGAAACUGGGUCUAAUACCGGAUAGGACCAUCGUUUAGUGUCGGUGGUGGAAAGUUUUUCGGUGUGGGAUGAGCUCGCGGCCUAUCAGCUUGUUGGUGGGGUAAUGGCCUACCAAGGCGUCGACGGGUAGCCGGCCUGAGAGGGUGUACGGCCACAUUGGGACUGAGAUACGGCCCAGACUCCUACGGGAGGCAGCAGUGGGGAAUAUUGCACAAUGGGCGCAAGCCUGAUGCAGCGACGCCGCGUGGGGGAUGACGGCCUUCGGGUUGUAAACUCCUUUCGCCAAGGACGAAGCGUUUUAUGACGGUACUUGGAGAAGAAGCACCGGCUAACUACGUG